UGCGCGCCUGGCGCGGGCGCGCGCGGGGAAUGUCGGCCACGUGCGCCGUGUCCCGGAAAGCUCCGCCGCCGCUGUCCCGGGGCGAGGGGGAUCCGUCGGCCAAAGUGAUGCGCAGGGGGCUGCGGAGAGGCCGCGAGGAGGAGCAGGAGCAGCUGCCGUGGCCGGGGGAGAGCGCGUGCGGCCGGGGCGCGGAGCCCGAGGGGGAGCAGGCGGCCCCGCUCAGGGACGAGCGGCGGAGGCGGCAGCCGCUGGAGCCGAGGGCGCUGGCGGCGGCGGCCAGGGAGGAGGAGGAGGAACGUCUGGAGCGGGAGCAUUUCCGGAGGAUCAUCAACGCCUUCCGAUAUUACGGAACGAAUAUGCAUGAACGAGUGAACAGAACAGAGAGGCAGUUUAAGUCUCUCCCAGCUAACCAACAGAGUCUUCUUCCUCAAUUUCUUCCGCACCUUGACAAGAUUCGGAAGUGCAUUGAUCAUAAUCAAGAGAUACUACAGACCAUUGUGAAUGACUGCGUUCAUAUGUUUGAAAAUAAAGAAUAUGGAGAAGACGGAAACGGGAAGAUUACACCAGCUUCAACAUUUGACAUGGAUAAAUUAAAGUCCACAUUGAAACAAUUUGUGAGAGACUGGAGUGAAGAGGGAAAGUCUGAGAGAGAUUCCUGCUACCAGCCAAUCAUUAGUGAAAUUGUAAAGAACUUUCCAAAAGAAAGAUGGGAUUUCUCCAAAGUUAAUAUCCUGGUACCUGGUGCUGGGCUAGGUAGAUUGGCGUGGGAAAUAGCUAUGCUCGGUUAUGCUUGCCAAGGAAAUGAAUGGAGCCUCUUUAUGCUCUUUUCUUCUAACUUUGUACUCAACAGAUGCUCUGAAAUUAACUCAUGUAAGCUUUAUCCCUGGAUUCAUCAAUUUAGCAAUAACAGAAGAUCUGCUGAUCAGAUACGACCAAUUUAUUUCCCAGAUGUCGAUCCUCACAGCCUUCCUUCUGGUUCAAACUUCUCUAUGACCGCAGGGGAUUUUCAAGAAAUUUAUUCUGAGUGCAAUACGUGGGACUGUGUAGCAACUUGCUUUUUCAUAGAUACAGCACAUAAUGUUAUUGAUUACAUUGAUACUAUAUGGAAAAUACUAAAGCCUGGAGGAAUAUGGAUAAAUGUCCUCUCCUUUACCAUUUUGAAAACUUGGGAAAUGAACUUUCUAUAGAAUUAAGCUAUGAGGAUAUAAAAAAUGUUAUCCUACAAUAUGGAUUCCAUAUAGAGGUGGAGAAAGAAUCUGUACUGUCAACUUACACUGUGAAUGAACUCUCCAUGAUGAAAUACUACUAUGAAUGCGUGUUGUUUGUGGUGAGAAAACCAGAAUAGUAGUGGUCUGAAUAGGUUAAUGAGAAAAAAAAUGUUGGUUUGAAAGCUAGAAAUGAGGGUAAAAUGGUCUGGGUGAUGUAUGAACACAACCUCAAAUAGUGGUGCCUUCUUAUUCCUAAGAGGAUAUAGAUAGUGUCUAUUUUCUUAAUAUCUCUAUUGCUAUUCGGACAUACACUAUGCCGUGCAUAUUUGUAAUAUACUUGUGAAGGUGGAGGAUGUAAUGUUCACAUACACUGUCACUGUGUUUUGGAGUGCAUUAAAAAUAAAAGCAAAAAUGUUUUCCUGAGAACAAAAUUAAAUGUUUGCCAUAAGUAGGCUAAUUCUCUGCAUAUGUUGCCUAAUAUUUCAUAGAUUUAUAGUGAUUUUUUUCUAUUAGCUGAUAUUAGGAAUGCAUGGAGGUGCUUACUGUAUUAUCUGUGUCAUGUUUAGAGAAGUAUUUUUAAAUGUAUACUUAAAUUAUGAAGUCUGAAGUGGUUGGAAAGUGGUAAAAUUAUUCUUGACAGAUAAAAUAGCCAUCAAAACUGGUAGAGCAUUUUCUGUGGAACUGAAAUGAAGUAGAUUAUUGUAUAAAUGCUAAUCUUUGACUGUACCACUGUUAACAGUUUAAUUAAAACACAGAGCCUGUGGGCAAUUUGAAAUACUAUGUGAAAGCAGAAUACUGAGUGAAGAAAAAGCAGAAUGUCACAGAGAAGCAGUAUGAUAACCUCAGUUGAGGAAUACUACCAAUUUUGAUUGAGCUUUUUGUUGAAACUGAAAUGUGUUAGACGCUUUGCCAUCUUGUAAUACGUUGAUUUUGAGUCAUCUUCUGACUGCUCAAGCUAAAACUUCCAAAGUUGAUAAACAUAGCUGAGUUAUCCAUGCCAUGUGUAGGUAGUACAACCUAAAAACAUCUGUCGGGGCAGUGAAGUUAUAAGAAAUAAAAUAAGUUUUUUUAAUUACAAAACAAAAUUAUAGGUGCAUUGUGAAGUUGUAAGGUAUCCAGUUCCAAACUGGACUGGGUACCAGGGGUCUUUUGUGGCCGGAAUAAGGGAAAUAUAAAGUUCCUAAAAAUUAAAAUGUUUCUGGGCCAUUUGGCAAAUUUUGAACAGAAGGGUUUCUUUUUUUCUCUUUGGGCUAAGAACAAGGGAAGAUCCAUCAUUUUUGACAGAGGAAACCUUGCAGCCAAUGGGAAAGAAGGGAAAGCCCCUUUUCGGAGAAAAGGAAGCCUUCUUAGGCAAAAAUUAAUAUAUUAAACUUAUCUGAAAAAGGAUGGGAUUUCGUAAAACUAUAAAAUGCAUGAAAUUUAAACCCAAGAGGUCUUUUCUCCCCGGGACCUUGGUGUGAGAUGAGACUGGCUCAUGCUGAAUAAACCUUUCCUUGAUGAUACAGUUCCUUUGUUUCACAGGUAAUUGAAUCUUUCUAAAUUAAAUAACGAGAGAUUUCUCACAAAGUUACAUGUAAAUAUGUCCUAUAACCUAAUCGCCUCUGCAUGAGUCAGGAUAUGCAGGAUAACUUCAAACACUUUAUCCUUCUGAAUUCUUGGUUUGUUCCUUAUACUAAUGUGUUUUUUUCCUAGCAGAUGUGGCUUAGGUGAAUUUUUAAUGUACAAGUCAUGAUACUAUACAAGAGGCUGAAUCUCCUGUCACUUGGAAGUUAUGUACAUGAGAACAACAUUAAUUAAUAAUCACUAUUCUGAGUGGAGGUGGUAUGUUAAGCAUUUUGUUUUCUUAAUAUAUUAGUUACCUUAAGUAUAAUUUCCACGCAUUUUCAAAAUGGUCUUUAAAAUAUAAAAGCAUUAUGAGGACUCAAGUUUUUUUCAUAUUUGGCCUUAAUGACACUGGUCAAUAUCUUGUUUAUUUCCCAUUAUUUUUAGUCCUGUCUUUCAUGGUGGUGUCCUAAUCACCUCCCUUUAACAGAUUUGUUACAGCUUUUGAAGAUUUUUCCAAUUAAGGCCAGAAAUUUGUGCCUUUAUUCCUAAAUUGAAAAUCUGCAAGGAGGAAAAACACCAACUUUUUUUUUUUAGUUUGAACACCACAUAAGAAAGCAUGCACCUGUAUAUGUUUCAGUACUUUGCCCCUUUCCAUUCAGAAUCCUUAUUGAAAUAGAGGUUUCUGGUCAACAGCAGUUUUUAAGUAUACCCUGGCUUAAACUAGACUUAUUUGUACUCUUCUUUCUAAAAGUGCACCACCAUGAUUCAGUUCCGUAAAUGAGGUGUCAAAGGUCUACCCUGCUCCAAGAGAGGUGUGUUUCAAGAAGAAACAAUGCUAUUGCAACAUAAAAUUAAAAACCCUUGCACACCUAAAAAUAAAAAAGCCACUUGCUUUAAUUUCUGUAUUGUACCAUUUACUUUAAUUUUUGAGGGAAUUUAUGAUUCUUUGCUUUAAAUCUGCUUUUUUUUCCUACCAGAAUAUGAUUAGCAUUUUACUUAAUUUUCAAGCUCCUUGUAGUCAGACAUAGCUUAAGUGAAUGUCAAUUGUGCUAUUGCUGAGUAGUAUAUCUAUCUGUAAUGUUACCCAAUUUCUGCCUCCUUUCCCGUCUGUAACUUGGAAUGUGGUGUUCCUGCUUUUCACAAAUAGGCAAUGGGACUCCUUCUUUCUGGUUGAGUGUCAUUAUCCUUUGUUCUGGUAGUUUUGUUCCUUGCCACCCCAUGUUGUCACAGGUGCCAUUUUUAUGUGUUUUCUGAAAAUGUUUUUAUUUGCUUACAUCAUGUAUGAUAUGGUGGUGUGCUUUUAUUUCUGAUCUAGAAAAUGCUGUUUUCCCCGCAUAAUAUUCUUUUAAAUCACAACAGUCACAUUAAGAGUUGGAAGUAAAAUAAUCUUGUGAAUGAGCCGUGUUAGUUGUGUUUUACCUACCUAUUUAUGAGUUCCUAGAAUUCACCACUUGUACUGUUAUGGGGAUCUUUGUGUAUUAUAGAAUGCGAUUACUGUUGUAUUUGGUUGUAUACGUGGGGGAGAAUGCUCAAGGUGUUCACCAGAUGAGACUGUUUACUUUAGGUCGUUAUUAAACUGUACAUGGUAACAGAUGUAAAAUAAAAUGCUGCAUAACCUUAAGUGUAAAGCUUCUUUAUAUGGAGUUUGACAAA
RNA transcript from Neopelma chrysocephalum (saffron-crested tyrant-manakin), 4406 nucleotides. It is a transcript of the gene named carnosine N-methyltransferase 1, with no coding region annotated. The transcript is spliced from 8 exons. Lineage: Eukaryota; Metazoa; Chordata; Aves; Passeriformes; Pipridae. The record is from RefSeq and is a predicted model, not a curated record.